AUUGAACGCUGGCGGCAUGCUUUACACAUGCAAGUCGAACGGUAACAGGCCGCAAGGUGCUGACGAGUGGCGAACGGGUGAGUAAUGCAUCGGAACGUGCCCAGUUGUGGGGGAUAACGCAGCGAAAGCUGCGCUAAUACCGCAUACGAUCUCUGGAUGAGAGCGGGGGACCGAAAGGCCUCGCGCGAUUGGAGCGGCCGAUGUCAGAUUAGGUAGUUGGUGGGGUAAAGGCUCACCAAGCCAACGAUCUGUAGCUGGUCUGAGAGGACGACCAGCCACACUGGGACUGAGACACGGCCCAGACUCCUACGGGAGGCAGCAGUGGGGAAUUUUGGACAAUGGGCGCAAGCCUGAUCCAGCAAUGCCGCGUGCAGGAAGAAGGCCUUCGGGUUGUAAACUGCUUUUGUACGGAACGAAACGGUUCUGGUUAAUACCUGGGGCUAAUGACGGUACCGUAAGAAUAAGCACCGGCUAACUACGUGCCAGCCGCCGCGGUAA
This 498-nucleotide ribosomal RNA is filed under the name uncultured bacterium. Its description in RNAcentral is "partial 16S ribosomal RNA". It matches the Rfam family "Bacterial small subunit ribosomal RNA", at positions 30 to 523 of the family's 1533-position model. The record is from RNAcentral.